CCACUUGGAAAUCUGUGAAGGCAAUGGGAAACGUGAACUGUAAAUAUUUUAGGUACCGACGAAGAAACUCUUAAGCUAUAUAUAUGGCACCUGCAAGGAUGGCGGUACUAAAUAUGCUGAAAUGAUGUUUAAAGUGGACUGCAUGCUCCCAUAAUUUCCCUCCUGAAGCAGACACCAUUUGGUUCAAAAGCAGAGCAUUGAAAAAAAAAAAAUAACCAAGGAAGAGAGAGAAAAACCGACUGAUGAAUACAAUGGAAUGAAAUUGGGAAUAAAUGUGGAGGCUGUGAUGGAAAGUAAAAGGACACUAGAGUUGGAAAUGCAAAUCUGGAUCUGGGAUCAGUAUCAUGUUAGGGGCUGAACUGGAGCACCAUACUUCUGGAACAAGGCGGUCGUUGCUGCUUAAAACUGCUAUCUGAGAGAUGUGCUUCCCAUUCUGAGGAUACUGGAAAUGAGUGAGUCAUUGUACCUUAAAAGAAGACACAGCACAGGUUUUAUUCAGAAAUUUCUUAAUGCUACUUCUUAGAUGAUUUCUGAAUAAUGUCUUCUGUGUGAAGGACACUUUUUUAUCGCUUAUGUAGCACCAUUUCACUAAACAGUCUCCUGAAUGUCACUGUCACACAAUUCUACACAAUUCUGGGCUGCAGUGACCUGAAAUUUCUGGGUCUGAGAGUCAGACUUUGCAAUAGUAUAUAACAGCUGUUUCCUCUUCAGAAACGAUUACAUGAUUUUUAGUAUUUAGCUGGGGAUAGUUUUCAACAAGCAGCUAGUAUGUUUGCUCUG
Molecule: long non-coding RNA, 780 nt
Organism: Harpia harpyja (harpy eagle)
Lineage: Eukaryota; Metazoa; Chordata; Aves; Accipitriformes; Accipitridae
Exons: 3
Source: RefSeq, a predicted model, not a curated record